GCAAUAGAAGUUGAGGAGCUUUACAACGAUGCCCAGGCUUAAAUUGUUCAUCACAAUUGAAACACAAUCCUUUGGCUCGUCUUUCAGUUUGUUCGGCAACUGAUAGACGUCGAAAUGGUGGUAAUCCCGGAGGGGGUGGGCCUAAUAAAGAGGGUUGUGAUGACCCCCCAGUUUUGGUUAUUGUGGGAGAUGAAUUAAGAAGUGGUGGCGAUGGCCUGCUCAUACUAGGCCGAGGUGGAAUCCUUCGAUUAGAAACAGCCGCGUAUUCUUCUUGGAAUCUUGCAAGCUCAAAAGUUUGUAGGAGACUUGCAGGUUUCAACAUCUGCACUCCAAUUUUAAUAUCCUCUCGUAAUCCCGAAAGGAA
This 364-nucleotide long non-coding RNA is filed under the name Citrus maxima (pomelo). RNAcentral's name for it is "long non-coding RNA (CMAX_LNC000875)". The record is from RNAcentral. Lineage: Eukaryota; Viridiplantae; Streptophyta; Magnoliopsida; Sapindales; Rutaceae.